AUGUCCCUACAGGUCCUUCUACAGCAUCCACUGCUAUGGAUGUCCCAUCCACUCCCUCAACAAGCACUAGCUAUCUAGGUGGAUCAACAGCUCCUCCAAUUGACCCAGCUGAAUGGUCAGCCGGCAUGACAGGUCCUUCUACAGCAUCCACUGCUAUGGAUGUCCCAUCCACUCCCUCAACAAGCACCAGCUAUCAAGGUGGAUCAACAGCUCCUCCAAUUGACCCAGCUGAAUGGUCAGCAUUCCUGUCUGACUCAGAAAGGACUGAUCUGGUAAGAAGAGGGCCAGUGCAAAUUAGUGACACCUUCACCUUCCCCAAAAAAUCUGAUGGUCGAAGCUUUCAUUACCAUUAUACGUGUAGACAAUUAGUUAAUGGGGAAAAAAUCAAGCGAAGCUGGCUAAUUUAUUCAAAGAAGAAUGAUGCGGUUUACUGCUUCUGUUGCAAAUUAUUCUCCAGAAAGUCCACAAAACUGUUAACAGAGGGACAGCGUGAUUGGGUCAAUGUAGGAGCUUUUCUCGUGUGGAGAGGAGGCUGAUGUUGAUGGUAGCGCACUGGCUGUAGAGAUCGAGAGUCUUCCUGAAUUUCCCCAAACCAUGACCGCCCUUGAGCUGCUCACAUACCUCUCACAAAACGAGAUGUGUGAGGUUUACCCAAAUCUUUGGGUAGCUCUCAGGAUAGCCUGCACUCUGCCUGUGACAGUUGCCUCAGCAGAGAGGAGCUUUUCCAAGCUAAAAUUAAUUAAAACAUACCUGAGAUCAUCGAUGGCUCAGGAAAGAUUAAGUGGACUUUCUGUUAUUAGUAUUAAUAGCAAAGUUGGCCAAGCAAUAUCAUAUAAUGAUGUCAUCAAUGACUUUGCCUCCCAAAAAGCUAGGAAGGAAAGAUUUUGAGGACAGUUACAUCGUAUUGAGACAGUUGGGAAUAUUUUCACAAUAAUUGAUUGUUGAACCCUUGCUGUCAUGUUACUAACUUAUCAGUUUUGUUAUUAUCGUUUAUUUGAAUGUUUUGAAACAGUUUGAUUUUAGAAGUUCCAAAUAGUUAGUUUAAAAGGUUAAUUGAAUACUGAGUCACUUUCAUUAUUUAAUCUAUGUAUCUAUGUAACGUUUUAUUUUUUAUUAUAUUCAUGCUUGUCUAUUUUGGUUUUAUUUUGUAAUUGGAAAUUGCUAACUUAAUACGCAUUUGCACAGUUGCAAAUUAUUUAUUUAAUAUGUUUGUGAUCGUUUGUUUGGAAUACAGAGGCACUAUCAUUAUUUAUUUUUUAUUUUUUAAUGUUAUUUUUGAUAAUACUAAUGUUUGUGUAUUUUGAUUUCAGUUUAAGAUUGCACAUUUACAAAUCUGUUGAAAGAUCUGUUUAUUAAACUGAUACUUUAAAAAAAAAUACAAAUGCUGUUGUAUUUAAUUAUUUUACAAUUUAACUUCAGUAAACCACACUUGAUGCUUUACUUUGAAUAUGAAAGUUUAAAAUAAAUCUGUGAUCUAAGUGCCCUCUAAGGUUAAAAGGUGACUGUUUUGGUGUAAAUAACGACUAUAAUAAUACAGGGGUCUAUCAAGGGACAAAAGUCUAGAAUAUUUUUGGCAUGAGAGCAACUGAAUGAGCCUUCCAGGCCCAAGAGGUCAAGGGGCACUGAAGCCCAAGCCCAAGUCACCAUCUCAAUAAGUCAAAAAGCAAAAUGCUAUGAAUAUGCUUAAAUUUAGGUAUUUCCCUUCUCCAGCUGGCCAUAUAAAAAAUA
Long non-coding RNA from Pleuronectes platessa (European plaice), 1728 nucleotides. RefSeq lists it as uncharacterized. The transcript is spliced from 2 exons. Lineage: Eukaryota; Metazoa; Chordata; Actinopteri; Pleuronectiformes; Pleuronectidae. The record is from RefSeq and is a predicted model, not a curated record.